RNAcentral lists this unclassified non-coding RNA (380 nucleotides) under soil metagenome. RNAcentral's name for it is "partial contains 5.8S ribosomal RNA, internal transcribed spacer 2, and large subunit ribosomal RNA". The stretch from base 1 to 120 matches the Rfam family "5.8S ribosomal RNA", at positions 35 to 154 of the family's 154-position model. The record is from RNAcentral.
GAUGAAGAACGUAGCGAAAUGCGAUACGUAGUGUGAAUUGCAGAAUUCCGUGAACCAUCGAAUCUUUGAACGCAAAUUGCGCUCGAGGCCUCGGCCAAGAGCAUGUCUGCCUCAGCGUCGGCUUUUCAUCCUCGCACUCAUUUAUUUGUUGUGCGGAUCUGGCAGUCUCAGUCUUCCGACUGGGUCUGUCGAAACGAAGAGGCUAAACUUGUCCUUUCAAAGGCAACAACUUGGUAGGUGGUCUAUGCCGCAUGCCGUUGUUGCUCGGGGCAAGUGAGGCCAAUCCGGCAAUCAGCUUUCGGGCUGGUUCCACUUUCAACUUUCGACCUGAGUUCAGGCAAGAUUACCCGCUGAACUUAAGCAUAUCAAUAAGCGGAGGA